This 931-nucleotide ribosomal RNA is filed under the name delta proteobacterium FM3-F2. RNAcentral describes it as "bacterial SSU rRNA". It matches the Rfam family "Bacterial small subunit ribosomal RNA", at positions 86 to 1001 of the family's 1533-position model. Lineage: Bacteria; Deltaproteobacteria. The record is from RNAcentral.
GUGAGUAGAGCGGCGCACGGGUGAGUAACGCGUGGAUAAUCUGCCCUGAAGAUCGGGAUAACAGUUGGAAACGACUGCUAAUACCGUAUAAUCUACAUAUUUAACUUUAUGUGGGAAAGGUGGCCUCUAUUUAUAAGCUACCGCUUUUGGAUGAGUCCGCGUCUCAUUAGCUUGUUGGUAGGGUAAUGGCCUACCAAGGCAACGAUGAGUAGCUGGUCUGAGAGGAUGAUCAGCCACACUGGGACUGAAACACGGCCCAGACUCCUACGGGAGGCAGCAGUGGGGAAUAUUGCGCAAUGGGGGAAACCCUGACGCAGCGACGCCGCGUGUAGGAAGAAGGCCUUCGGGUCGUAAACUACUGUCAAGAGGGAAGAAACUGUUAGGCAUUAAUACGGCCUUUCACUGACGGUACCUCUAGAGGAAGCACCGGCUAACUCCGUGCCAGCAGCCGCGGUAAUACGGAGGGUGCGAGCGUUAAUCGGAAUCACUGGGCGUAAAGCGUGCGUAGGCGGCGCAACAAGUCAGGCGUGAAAGCCCUCGGCUCAACCGAGGAAUUGCGCUUGAAACUGUUGUGCUAGAGUCUCGGAGAGGUUGGCGGAAUUCCAGGUGUAGGAGUGAAAUCCGUAGAUAUCUGGAGGAACACCGGUGGCGAAGGCGGCCAACUGGACGAGUACUGACGCUGAGGUACGAAAGCGUGGGGAGCAAACAGGAUUAGAUACCCUGGUAGUCCACGCUGUAAACGAUGGAUAUUAGGUGUCGGGUUUUCAAUUCGGUGCCGCAGUUAACGCGUUAAAUAUCCCGCCUGGGGGAGUACGGUCGCAAGGCUGAAACUCAAGGAAUUGACGGGGGCCCGCACAAGCGGUGGAGUAUGUGGUUUAAUUCGAUGCAACGCGAAGAACCUUACCUAGGCUUGACAUCCUGAGAAUCUGCC